Molecule: ribosomal RNA, 1411 nt
Filed under: Klebsiella grimontii
Lineage: Bacteria; Pseudomonadati; Pseudomonadota; Gammaproteobacteria; Enterobacterales; Enterobacteriaceae
Also listed under: 1 other name
Description: partial 23S ribosomal RNA
Rfam family: Bacterial large subunit ribosomal RNA
Source: RNAcentral
AACGCUGAGGUGUGAUGACGAGGCACUACGGUGCUGAAGUGACAAAUGCCCUGCUUCCAGGAAAAGCCUCUAAGCAUCAGGUAACAUCAAAUCGUACCCCAAACCGACACAGGUGGUCAGGUAGAGAAUACCAAGGCGCUUGAGAGAACUCGGGUGAAGGAACUAGGCAAAAUGGUGCCGUAACUUCGGGAGAAGGCACGCUGAUAUGUAGGUGAAGUGGUUUACCCAUGGAGCUGAAAUCAGUCGAAGAUACCAGCUGGCUGCAACUGUUUAUUAAAAACACAGCACUGUGCAAACACGAAAGUGGACGUAUACGGUGUGACGCCUGCCCGGUGCCGGAAGGUUAAUUGAUGGGGUUAUCCGUAAGGAGAAGCUCUUGAUCGAAGCCCCGGUAAACGGCGGCCGUAACUAUAACGGUCCUAAGGUAGCGAAAUUCCUUGUCGGGUAAGUUCCGACCUGCACGAAUGGCGUAAUGAUGGCCAGGCUGUCUCCACCCGAGACUCAGUGAAAUUGAACUCGCUGUGAAGAUGCAGUGUACCCGCGGCAAGACGGAAAGACCCCGUGAACCUUUACUAUAGCUUGACACUGAACACUGGUCCUUGAUGUGUAGGAUAGGUGGGAGGCUUUGAAGUGUGGACGCCAGUCUGCAUGGAGCCAUCCUUGAAAUACCACCCUUUAAUGGCUGGUGUUCUAACGUGGGCCCCUAAUCGGGGUUGCGGACAGUGUCUGGUGGGUAGUUUGACUGGGGCGGUCUCCUCCUAAAGAGUAACGGAGGAGCACGAAGGUCAGCUAAUCCUGGUCGGACAUCAGGAGGUUAGUGCAAUGGCAUAAGCUGGCUUGACUGCGAGCGUGACGGCGCGAGCAGGUGCGAAAGCAGGUCAUAGUGAUCCGGUGGUUCUGAAUGGAAGGGCCAUCGCUCAACGGAUAAAAGGUACUCCGGGGAUAACAGGCUGAUACCGCCCAAGAGUUCAUAUCGACGGCGGUGUUUGGCACCUCGAUGUCGGCUCAUCACAUCCUGGGGCUGAAGUAGGUCCCAAGGGUAUGGCUGUUCGCCAUUUAAAGUGGUACGCGAGCUGGGUUUAGAACGUCGUGAGACAGUUCGGUCCCUAUCUGCCGUGGGCGCUGGAGAAUUGAGGGGGGCUGCUCCUAGUACGAGAGGACCGGAGUGGACGCAUCACUGGUGUUCGGGUUGUCAUGCCAAUGGCAUUGCCCGGUAGCUAAAUGCGGAAGAGAUAAGUGCUGAAAGCAUCUAAGCACGAAACUUGCCCCGAGAUGAGUUCUCCCUGACUCCUUGAGAGUCCUGAAGGAACGUUGAAGACGACGACGUUGAUAGGCCGGGUGUGUAAGCGCAGCGAUGCGUUGAGCUAACCGGUACUAAUGAACCGUGAGGCUUAACCUUACAACGCCGAAG